Molecule: small nuclear RNA, 189 nt
Organism: Anolis carolinensis (green anole)
Lineage: Eukaryota; Metazoa; Chordata; Lepidosauria; Squamata; Anolidae
Gene: U2
Rfam family: U2 spliceosomal RNA
About the family: U2 is a small nuclear RNA (snRNA) component of the spliceosome (involved in pre-mRNA splicing). Complementary binding between U2 snRNA (in an area lying towards the 5' end but 3' to hairpin I) and the branchpoint sequence (BPS) of the intron results the bulging out of an unpaired adenosine, on the BPS, which initiates a nucleophilic attack at the intronic 5' splice site, thus starting the first of two transesterification reactions that mediate splicing.
Source: Ensembl
UCCUCUUCUUGGACUUUUGGGUAAGAUCAAGUGUAGUAUCUGCUAUUAUCAGUGUUAUAUCUGAUACGCCCUCUAUUUAAGGACUAAAUAUUAAAUGGAUUUUGGGGCCUGGGAUGGAAUAGGGGCUUGUUUCAUCCAUUCCAAGCAUCGACCUAGUAUUGUAGUGCCUCCAGGAACGGUGCACCAGAA